This is a long non-coding RNA of Lagenorhynchus albirostris (white-beaked dolphin), 1865 nucleotides long. RefSeq lists it as uncharacterized. The record is from RefSeq and is a predicted model, not a curated record. Lineage: Eukaryota; Metazoa; Chordata; Mammalia; Artiodactyla; Delphinidae. The transcript is spliced from 3 exons.
GAGGUUCCGGCCGGGGUGGGCUGCGCGGGGUGCCCGGGGUGCCCGGGGUGGGCAGCCCAGCCUUCCCCGUGGGGUUUGCGGCGUCCCUAGGCUCCCUGCCUCCCGGGCAGGGUCCCGGGCCCGCGGCCUCGAUCUCCUCCUUUUCGGGAGUAAACAUUAUUACCAUCCCAAGUUCACGGCUUGGAAAAGGAGGCUCAAAGAUUGACCAGCCACCAGCCACAAAGCCUGUAAGUGAAGGCAUCUAGCUUCCUUCUACAAAGAGAAAGCCCAGGGCUUGGCUCGACCUUCUCACCACCGCUACCCCCAGCUUCCGCUCCCUGGGCUCUUCACGACCAGCUGGAGCCUUCCAGAACCUCUCCAGAGAACAGCUCUGCUCCAGGUAACUUCUGUGAUUACACAGUUCCACGAAGAUUUUCUAGAGAUUACUGUGUCUUGGCCUUCAUUGUUUCAUUCAAGGUGGGGAUUUGGGGCCGAGUAGAAGCAGAAGAUGAGACCUGGAAGGGAUGGUACUGGGGACAAGGGGACCUUAACAGGUGGGCAUCUCUCUACGCGUGGAGGGUGUCCACUUCUCUGUGUCCUGGUCGGGUCGUUUUGUUACGUUGUGAAGAUGAGAGACGCUUAUUCGCUGAAUGCUCAGUUCACAAAUAUUAAGUGACAGCAUUGAUUCCAGCAGGCCGGGGCCCCUGGGGAUCCCUGGCAGCAAAGGCUGCCUCACUGCCACCCAGUGUGCACCUGGCCUGCUUCCUCCCCGGCACCCGCCCCAUGUCUGUUCCUGUAUAAUCAGAGAAGCACGCGGGCAGAGUUGGAAAUAGCGCUUGCCCGACCUAAGGUGACACACCCGAGGACUCUGAGCUGCCCUCCUCUGCCAUAUGCGUGACCCAAACGCCACCACAUGGGCACACGGCACCUGUGCAGACAACAGCAGGAAACGGGGCCCACGGAACCUCUGUUCCCUGGCUUAGGCUUUGACGAGGUCUGGGGCGAAGGGGGUUGUUGCUGGCUUCUCUGUGUGUCUAAAAGGAACAGCUCUUCUGGCUGUCGGGCAGGGUGAUGGGGGAGGUGAGUCAGUCUCUGCCUACCGUGGGCCAUUUCCUGCUUUGGGCCUGAUGUCAUCGACUGCGUCUGGGCCACUCCCACCCCUAAGGGACUUUGGGGUGACGAUGACAAAAUUCAGACUGGAGGGGGAGGGUGUGGAAGGCUAGGCCUGUGUCUUACUAAAGGGCUCUGCCUGCCCUUCCCCCUCUCCUGCCUCCCGCUGAGAGCCUCUUAGUGAAAGUACCCUCUGAAUGCCUGGCACCAUGAUGGUGGUAAUUACCGUUGCUUGAUGCGUUGCUAAGUGACUGAUGGGAUCUAGUUGAAAUAUAUUAGCUGGGGUCCUGAAAUUUUGAGAACAUCAGCUUCCUCUGUAGAAUAAUGAAAACCCAAGAACCAUCUUAGCAAUAAAAUUGUAUCCAUUAUCCUGGAACAGUCACAUCCUAUUUGUUUGUGCCCUCGGAGAAGGCCCAAGGGAUGAGGCACCUCGAUCUCUCUUUCCCCUGAAACAUCUGAAAUAGCCUCGCCGCUCCCUUGACUGCGCACAUUUCCAGGUUUUCAGUAAAAGCAUCUCUUGAUGAAGAUGGAGGAAUUUUGCUGGAAGCAUUUGAGGUGCUUCCUUUUUAUAAAGACUGUCUAAAGCACAAACAGUCUGAACUCCAGUUUAAUUUACUUUAAAGAUGUCAGCUCCACCAGUUUAUAAAUUUUUGCCCCAGACAGUAAUAAUUUAGAGUAAAUAUAUGUAAUGUUUCUCAGCUAUCUUCUGGAAUGUUUCAUGUCCCAGUAUGGAUUAUUUUUACUAGAAUUGUCAAUCGGGACCUUUCAUAAUUGAA